RNAcentral lists this ribosomal RNA (253 nucleotides) under uncultured bacterium. RNAcentral describes it as "partial 16S ribosomal RNA". It matches the Rfam family "Bacterial small subunit ribosomal RNA", at positions 524 to 776 of the family's 1533-position model. The record is from RNAcentral.
UACGUAGGGUCCGAGCGUUGUCCGGAAUUACUGGGCGUAAAGAGCUCGUAGGUGGUUUGUCGCGUUGUUCGUGAAAACUCACAGCUCAACUGUGGGCGUGCGGGCGAUACGGGCAGGCUAGAGUUCGGUAGGGGAGACUGGAAUUCCUGGUGUAGCGGUGAAAUGCGCAGAUAUCAGGAGGAACACCGGUGGCGAAGGCGGUUCUCUGGGCAUGUCCUGACGCUGAGGAGCGAAAGCUAGGGGAGCAAACAGG